CAGUAGCCACGGUAAUACAGAGGGUGCGAGCGUUAAUCGGAUUUACUGGGCGUAAAGCGUGCGUAGGCGGCUUUUUAAGUCGGAUGUGAAAUCCCUGAGCUUAACUUAGGAAUUGCAUUCGAUACUGGGAAGCUAGAGUAUGGGAGAGGAUGGUAGAAUUCCAGGUGUAGCGGUGAAAUGCGUAGAGAUCUGGUGGAAUACCGAUGGCGAAGGCAGCCAUCUGGCCUAAUACUGACGCUGAGGUACGAAAGCAUGGGGAGCAAACAGGAUUAGAUACCCCCGUAGUCCCUGUCUCUUAUAC
This 301-nucleotide ribosomal RNA is filed under the name uncultured bacterium. RNAcentral's name for it is "partial 16S ribosomal RNA". It matches the Rfam family "Bacterial small subunit ribosomal RNA", at positions 509 to 807 of the family's 1533-position model. The record is from RNAcentral.